This 492-nucleotide ribosomal RNA is filed under the name uncultured bacterium. RNAcentral's name for it is "partial 16S ribosomal RNA". It matches the Rfam family "Bacterial small subunit ribosomal RNA", at positions 29 to 507 of the family's 1533-position model. The record is from RNAcentral.
AGUGAACGCUGGCGGCAGGCCUAAUACAUGCAAGUCGAACGGCAGCACAGUAAGAGUUCGCCCCUACGGGUGGCGAGUGGCGGACGGGUGAGGAGUGCAUCGGCAUCCUCUUUUUCGUGGGGGACUACGUAGGGCAAGUUACGCUAAUAGCUCAUAUGACGUACGGGUGGAAGCAGGGGAUAAUCGCAGCUUUCCUGUUUCUAUGAGCUGAUGCCGCAUUAGCUAGGUGGGUGGGUAAAGGCCCACCAAGGCAACGAACCGUAGCUGGUCUGAGAGGGUGAUCCGCCACACUGGAACUGAGACACGGUCCAGACUCCUACGGGAGGCAGCAGUGGGGAAUAUUCCGCAAUGGGCGAAAGCCUGAUCCAGCCAUACCGCGUGAGUGAAGAAGGCCUUCGGAUUGUAAAGCCCUUUUGUUAGGAAAGAACAACAGCAGAUUAAUCCAUGGCUGUUCUGACGGUACCCAAAGAAAAAGCACCGGCUAACUUCGUG